Oreochromis aureus is the source of this 1017-nucleotide long non-coding RNA. The record is from Ensembl. Lineage: Eukaryota; Metazoa; Chordata; Actinopteri; Cichliformes; Cichlidae.
CUCAGAUUGCCUUGUGAAUUGUGUUUUGACAGAUCAUGCAUGUCCUCACAAAUUCCUUUGCUGAAGUUUCAAAAUUCAGAGUAUAGAAGUGUGUGUUUACAAUUUGGACCAUUCCCCCCGUCGAAACAUGGGUCACCCCAUGGGUCACCAGUGCUGCUGUUCUGUGUAGGGACUUUGGGAGUAUUGGUUUACCUUCACAAGUCAUCAAAUCUUUUUGCAAUUGUGCUCCACACUUUAACCAUUUCUUUUGUUCUGUAGUUGGUGCGGCUUUUUGUUCAUCUUUAAGCACAUCAAGUGGUAUUUGCAUAGAGGAUGCAGACAUUAAUGUGUCUACAGUUUGUUGUGCGGCUAAUUUUGCUGCUCGAUCUGCAAAGUUAUUGCCUUGAGUUAUUUCUGAUGUAUCUUUCUGAUGUGCAGCACAUUUGCAUAAUGCUAACUGUUUUGGCAAUGUUAUCACUUGUAACAGUGCUUUCAGAAGAUUUCCAUGUUUCACUGGAUUACCAGUAGAGGUAAUCAUUCCUCUGUUCUGCCAAAUUUUAGCAAAAUGGUGCACUGCUGAGAAAACAUACUGGCUGUCAGUGUGGAUAUUUAUGUCUUGGCCUGCGUGCAACUCACAUGCACGUAUGACUGCUGUUAGUUCUGCACUCUGUGCAGAGUGUGAGGAUGUUAGCGGUUUCGCUUCUACGACUCUAUCUGCUGUAGUUACUGCAUAACCUACACAGUUUCGUCCUAGGCUAUUUUUAGACGCUGAGCCGUCUACAAAAAUGUCAGUGAAACCAGCUUGUGGUGUGCUGUAGAUGUCAGCUCGUGGCUUUGUCUCCUCAUCUAACUUUGUCAUACAGCAGUGCGGAUAACCUUCGUCGGGUCAUCUGGCUGGACCCCAACGCCGUGGACCAGGCCCGGCCUGGAUACGAAUUUACGCCCAGGGCUUUCACCUCUACCUAGAGAGGGCUGUCGACAGACUUCGGUUCUGGCUUUCCCACGACGUCAGGAUGCAGCAAUCAGACCUUAUUGGAG